GACGAACGCUGGCGGCGUGCCUAAUACAUGCAAGUCGAGCGGACGAAUCGAAAGCUUGCUUUUGAUUCGUUAGCGGCGGACGGGUGAGUAACACGUGGGCAACCUGCCCUGUAGACGGGGAUAACACCGAGAAAUCGGUGCUAAUACCGGAUAACACGAAAUGUCGCAUGACGUUUCGUUGAAAGACGGCGCAAGUUGUCGCUACAGGAUGGGCCCGCGGCGCAUUAGCUAGUUGGUGAGGUAACGGCUCACCAAGGCGACGAUGCGUAGCCGACCUAAGAGGGUGAUCGGCCACACUGGGACUGAGACACGGCCCAGACUCCUACGGGAGGCAGCAGUAGGGAAUCUUCCGCAAUGGACGAAAGUCUGACGGAGCAACGCCGCGUGAGCGAAGAAGGCCUUCGGGUCGUAAAGCUCUGUUGUUAGGGAAGAACAAGUAACGCAGUAACUGGCGUUACCGUGACGGUACCUAACGAGAAAGCCACGGCUAACUACGUGCCAGCAGCCGCGGUAAUACGUAGGUGGCAAGUGUUGUCCGGAAUUAUUGGGCGUAAAGCGCGCGCAGGCGGUUCCUUAAGUCUGAUGUGAAAGCCCACGGCCCAACCGUGGAGGGUCAUUGGAAACUGGGGGACUUGGGUGCAGAAGAGGAGAGCGGAAUUCCACGUGUAGCGGUGAAAUGCGUAGAGAUGUGGAGGAACACCAGUGGCGAAGGCGGCUCUCUGGUCUGUAACUGACGCUGAGGCGCGAAAGCGUGGGGAGCAAACAGG
RNAcentral lists this ribosomal RNA (767 nucleotides) under Anoxybacillus kestanbolensis. Its description in RNAcentral is "bacterial SSU rRNA". It matches the Rfam family "Bacterial small subunit ribosomal RNA", at positions 28 to 776 of the family's 1533-position model. Lineage: Bacteria; Bacillati; Bacillota; Bacilli; Caryophanales; Anoxybacillaceae. The record is from RNAcentral.